Molecule: long non-coding RNA, 4746 nt
Organism: Anopheles gambiae (African malaria mosquito)
Lineage: Eukaryota; Metazoa; Arthropoda; Insecta; Diptera; Culicidae
Exons: 2
Source: RefSeq, a predicted model, not a curated record
UUUGCCUUGAUAAAAAUUCAAUAUAAUGGUUUUUCGCGUACUAAACCUGAUUUAGUUUAUUAAUCAAUUAAAAACAACACGUGUUUCCUUUCUGUAAUUGAUAAUAAAUUUAAAAAAACAAUUUCGUUGAAGUCAUUUAAUUUAAUUUCUCAUUUGAAUUCAAUCGCUCGGUUGAAACACUUUCCUUAAUUGUAAUGAUAUGUUUUACCAUUACUGAUAUUAUUAUGUAGUGUGGAUAGUUUAAUUGUUAUAAAUUGUUCUUUCUCUUUUUUGCUAUUCCGUUUCAUUAAAUAUGCUUCGAGAUAAAUGUCUUAUUAAGGCGUGCCUUCAAAAUUAAUAAUUAAAGUUUAACUAUUAAAACUUGAUAACAACAGUUUCUCGAAAUAAUACAUUUCAGUACAGAGGAGGCAUAUUUGAAAAUAAAACAUGUUUGAAAUUGUUUUGCAAGAUACAAAAGUGGCAAAAUCAUGAACCAUAUGAGAAAAAUCGUAAAUAGUAUAUUGCACUGACCCCUUACCAGUAUUUAAAACAUAUUAAAUAAUAGCUACCAUAAAUUAACGAGCAAUCUUCUUCAUAAUAAUGUGUGAAUAAUAUUUUUGUUGUAUUGUAUAAUGACCACAAAUUAAUUAUGCUUGUGUUUGAUAUGUAUUUUUAAUGAAAAGUAUUAUUGUAUGGAGACGCAUGGUCGCCAUUGUCAAUAAAAAAUAAAACGCCGGCAAAGAAAUACCCUUUUCAUGAAUCAACCAGCGUUUCAACACGAUACAAACGACAAUCAUAAUUAUUUGCGUCGUCAUCGGUCGAAUGCUGUUCAUCUACUUCCACAAGCAGCAGCGCGUGCUUGACGCCAUCCGUUCCGUUCGCUGUCUGGCGAGCGACUGAGCUGCCGCCGUCGAAUGUAACGCGACGCGCGCGCGGUGUUGGCCGGCGGGGAAGGAUCAAAAGCGUGCCGCUGCUACAGCUCGCUCCCCAAAACAAAAACAAAUAAUACACAAACGACGAACCGGGCAAACGUAAUUGCCACCAAUCGUGUGUCACCAAUAGUCAGCGCCGUCUUCCAUCUUUGAAAACCACACGUCCGAGGCACGUUUGUGCGCAUGUCGUUCAUUUCAGACACGCCGAAGAGGAAUGGGGGGUAUGUUUGCUUAUCCCAACACUCCAGCCCACCCAACGCCCGCCCCGAGGACGGAUUGACGCGGAUUCCAUGGAUCAUCAGCCGGAAGUCACCAUAUCGAUGGCCGCAACGACUCUGGCCACAGCGAACGCGCUGCUUUAUUUUUUCUCUCACUCACGCGCCAUUUUUCUCACUUUCUUGCUCUCUCUAUCUCUCUUUCCUGCCCCCGCGGUAUGGUGGUUCACUCCUUUCGAUGAUCUUUUUACCACUUUUUUGGGUGGUUGUGUCGGUGAGUGCGUACGUGCAUCUAUAUACAUACAUCAACACUUCGCAACGGAGGUGCUACCCUCCAGCAAACGGUGCUCUCGGCUCGUGGGAAACUUCUAGUCCGAUUAAAUAGCUGAAAAAAUAACAUCACUUUGCGGAGCGUCGAAGGGCUGGGUGCUGUGUCCGUUACCGACGAUCGUGUUUGUGUAUCAAGAAGCAAUCAGUGUUCUACAAGCCACCCCUGUCCUACGACCAAACUCCGUCCCUGCACCUACCGCUUGCUUCUUCAAUAUGUGUUAUGUGCUACUAGUCAGAUAUAAAAAAAAAACUCAACACAACACAAACAAGCCUCUGCACGCUCAUGUUCUUCCAUCUCUAUCAAUUUACAUGUCACUUCUACCGCUAUCUACACCCCCUCUGCCUCUCUGCCACUCAAUUGGUUAAGUGAAUCUGAGUGGAAAAAAAGAAACCGAACAGCAAAAAACACACAUCCGUGAAACCAGAUGAACCGCGAACUCACACCCCGCCAAAACAAAAGUUGAACUCAAUCACUUUACGUUUGAGCACAUUUCGCACGAGAGUGUCGCGUGAAACACAUAGGGCCCCCACGUAAACACACAACCCACCAUCGUCCUCCGCCCCGUCCCCAUCGUCAUGGUAGUGUGCCAGGCGGCUAUUGCUCCUUUUGCAAGCUAUCCAAAAUAAACGCCGCCAUUACUUGUGGAAGAAGGGACGAUUUAUGUGCACAACACACACACAACGAAACGAACCGCACACACUGACACACGGUGGAAUAUUUACAAGCGUGAGAUUCGAUUCUCCUCCGAAAGAAAGAGCUUCCCCUUUCCGGUUGCUGCUUCGGCGGCGCUACUUUACCGUAUUAGUGAGAGCUACCAUGCGUCUCCAUCGGCGUGUGGCGGAGAAGCAUCAUUUUCCCCACCAACAGAGUUGGCAGCUGCGCGUUAAGAUGCACACACUGUGCAUGCCGUCGUUGCGUCGUUGUUCACUGCCGUUUAUCGGUACGUGCCGAGGAGUGAAUUUGUAAAUCGUUUGGCGAGAGACGAGCGACUAAAGAGAUUCCCCCACCUGCUGGUGGUGGUGGCGGUGCUGUGACGAAGUGAUUCGAGCCGAUUUAUCACUCAAUUUCGCUUUGAGAAACUACCACCACCACCAUCGUACUCCUUCCUGUCCUUCUGCUUGUACAGUUUCUCGCUCGCUCACGAGGAAGCCGAGCGUGUGCUUUCCUCCUUUUCUCGCUUUCCGACGAGCGACGAACACCCAUUAGUGGCACUUUAGCGUAACGACAUAGCAGCAGCAGCAGCGGGGAAACCGAAACACCAUUUACAAAUAUUUCUGUGUAUUGUGGUAUUUUGAUAUGGCCGUCCCCCCCGCUCUUAGCAUUGCACGAUAAGGAAGGAAAGAAAAAAACGAAAGAAAGAUAACUACGGGGAACGGUAAGUGAAUAAACGCAAUAAUGUCGGAAACUUCAACGCGAAGGCAAUAGUAGGGGAAUUGUACCCUCUUUUCUGUGGAUUCACUAUCGUCAAAUAGCGAUAUUUAAAUUCAUAGCCAUACCGACGGAAAAUAGGCUCUUUAGGUAUGUGAAAAAAAUGAAAUAAUACUUGGGUGAAACCGAAAAAAACCGAAAAAAAGGAAAAUUGUAUCGAUUUUUCUCAAUUCACCGACAACAUUUCAAUCUCCAAUCAAACGCUUGAAGAUACGAAUUAAGUUCAAUAAGAAAAUACCUUUUGAAGUGAAUAUUAUACGAACCAGAAAGAGCUAAAGACCUUUAUCAAUUUGUAUAAAGUUACUGGAGUUAGUGGGCAUUAUAAAUUAUAACGUAAUGGAGGCCACUUAACGCAUCCGAUAGGAAAACAUAUUUUAUUACUGUAUUUAUUUAAUUGAUUACUUAUUCCUAACAUAAACGAAAAAUCUAAAACGCAAUUGGUAAACGAUACACUUCUUCUAAAUCACAACUUCGAUUUCGCUACCAAAGAUGGCAACAACACCAAUUAAUUAUCGCUCAAUCACUACCCCCCGGACGACCAACAAAGUAAAUGACACCUAAAAAGACACGCUUAAUAAAAGUUAGCAACGCAACAGAGAAACGAGAACGAGAUGAAAUGAGUGCUUGCCUCAUUAUACCCGCGUGUCACCGACCACCUCCUAUCCAGGCUCAUCCGUUCAGCUAAGCUAACAAAUUCUGCUUCCCAUUCACCCAGCACCGGCUCCCCGCCAAAUUGCCCCGGGACGCGACACACUACGACGCCGGGCAGAAAAGAUUUAUCUGCGCUCCACUUAAAAUGAACAUACCAGUUAUCGUUUCCCGGGCAGGAGGCGGGUGAGUGAGAAGCAAUGCAAAGGGAGGAAAAACGAACAGGGAAGGAAAAGGACCACACACCACACCAAACCACCAAUCUGCUAAGGCCGACUCAGUGCACACGACCACCGUAUGGCACACCACACCGGUAUUAUGUUACUCAAUUUUCUCCACCCUCCGGAAUGGCCUCCCACCCUGCCCCGUCCGUUCGAUCCUCCCAUUGGGGGAGGAAAAACGCUCCAUUAACCACUUGUUAGUCACACUUCUAUCGAAAUGGCAUUCCAGCUUUCACACACUCUCUUUUACAUUCUCUCUCUCUAUCUCUCUCUUUUCAUCCCACCAAACGGUGCUCAUCUUCGUCUUCCAGCACCUGUCGGCGGCCAUCUUGGUUUAUUUUUCCCCUGACUGUGGUCCUCAGCUUCGCCGCCUCAUCCUCCCUCCUUCUCCCCUCACCCCGGCCACCCCAGGGGUUGUUCGUUCCGGGCGUCGCUUAUUUGCUGCACACUCUCUGUCUUGUACGCGGGCUCAAUUUUCACCUCGCCCGUUUGGUACUUGUGGCGGCACUCUUCAACUGUAUGCUCUCCGCUGCCUAAGAACGGACGCUGUUUAGAGGAACACAAGUUUUCUAGUGCGCUGCUGCGUUGCUUCAACUGCUGACGUGAUUUUCAUUUCACCGAAACGACCUUGCUAUUUGCGGUGAACGCGUUCAAUACAAGCGCUGCUGUUUAUCUUAGUUGUUUAAAAAUUCAUUUGAACAUUUCCACCACAAGCUUGACAUGAUUGCCGCCAGCAUAAUGAUGAGUCGUAUCUUGACGGAAGAGGAGCUCGGUCCAAAGCGUUACGACGAGCGCAAAAAGGAAACCAACAAGAAGAUGGCGAACUCGCAGCUGCAGCAAGUGGAAAAAGGGAGUAAAGUGAAGGAAUCGAAAAAAUGCUCCACAGCAUCGGGAGAAAGCCGAACUAAGUGAACGAUUUGUUUGUUCUUUUUAUGUUGUAAACAAUUCCAUCAAGUGCCAUUGCAAUAAAACAUCUAUUUACAAGUGUGUAA